AUACGGAGGGUGCGAGCGUUACUCGGAGUCACUGGGCGUAAAGCGUCCGUAGGCGGUCGGGUAAGUCGGGUGUGAAAGCCCCGGGCUCAACCUGGGAAGUGCACCCGAUACUGCUCGACUCGAGUGCGGGAGAGGAUGGCGGAAUUCCCGGUGUAGCGGUGAAAUGCGUAGAGAACGGGAGGAACACCAGUGGCGAAGGCGGCCAUCUGGCCCGCAACUGACGCUGAGGGACGAGAGCGUGGGGAGCAAACAGGAUUAGAUACCCUAGUAGUCC
RNAcentral lists this ribosomal RNA (274 nucleotides) under uncultured bacterium. Its description in RNAcentral is "partial 16S ribosomal RNA". It matches the Rfam family "Bacterial small subunit ribosomal RNA", at positions 523 to 796 of the family's 1533-position model. The record is from RNAcentral.